This 87-nucleotide transfer RNA is filed under the name Asanoa iriomotensis. RNAcentral describes it as "tRNA-Ile". The record is from RNAcentral. Lineage: Bacteria; Bacillati; Actinomycetota; Actinomycetes; Micromonosporales; Micromonosporaceae.
AGCUGCUGGUGCAGCGCCGCGGUGCCGGCGUUGAUGGCGCCGCCGAACAGGUUCGGGUCGCCCUGUUCCAGGUCGCCGGGUAGCUGC